AUGCACGCUGGCGGCGUGCCUAAUCCCUGCCAGUCGAGCGAACAGAUGAGGAGCUUGCUCCUCUGACGUUAGCGGCGGACGGGUGAGUAACACGUGGAUAACCUACCUAUAAGACUGGGAUAACUUCGGGAAACCGGAGCUAAUACCGGAUAAUAUAUUGAACCGCAUGGUUCAAUAGUGAAAGACGGUUUUGCUGUCACUUAUAGAUGGAUCCGCGCCGCAUUAGCUAGUUGGUAAGGUAACGGCUUACCAAGGCAACGAUGCGUAGCCGACCUGAGAGGGUGAUCGGCCACACUGGAACUGAGACACGGUCCAGACUCCUACGGGAGGCAGCAGUAGGGAAUCUUCCGCAAUGGGCGAAAGCCUGACGGAGUAACGCCGCGUGAGUGAUGAAGGUCUUCGGAUCGUAAAACUCUGUUAUUAGGGAAGAACAAAUGUGUAAGUAACUAUGCACGUCUUGACGGUACCUAAUCAGAAAGCCACGGCUAACUACGUG
This 496-nucleotide ribosomal RNA is filed under the name uncultured bacterium. Its description in RNAcentral is "partial 16S ribosomal RNA". It matches the Rfam family "Bacterial small subunit ribosomal RNA", at positions 29 to 507 of the family's 1533-position model. The record is from RNAcentral.